This 135-nucleotide ribosomal RNA is filed under the name Erinaceus europaeus (western European hedgehog). Lineage: Eukaryota; Metazoa; Chordata; Mammalia; Eulipotyphla; Erinaceidae. The record is from RNAcentral.
GUCUACAGCCAUAUCACCCUGAGCAUACCCAGUCUCAUCUGAUCUCGCAAGCUAAGCAGGAUUGGGCCUGGUUAGUUAGCACUUGGAUGUAAGGAAUAAAACUUUUUUUUUUUUGCUCCCUUGAAGUAGUGAAUA